AAAGUCUAACCUGCCCUAUGAGUUAUUAAAUGGCUGCAGUAAUUUGACUGUGCAAAGGUAGCAUAAUAAUUAGUUUUUUAAUUGGGAACUGGAAUGAAUGGUUGGACGAGAAAAAUACUGUCUCAAUUUAAAUUUAAUUAGAAUUUUAUUUUUAAGUUAAAAAGCUUAAAUAUAUUUAAAAGACGAGAAGACCCUAUAGAGUUUUAUAUUAAAUAUUAUAUUUUAUAAAGUUAAAGUAUUUUAUUUUUAAUUAUAGUAUUUAGUAUUUAAUUGGGGUGAUUGAAAAAUUUAAUAAACUUUUUUUGAGUUAUUACAUAUAUUUAUGAGUAAUUGAUCCA
Molecule: ribosomal RNA, 338 nt
Filed under: Epactoides sp. SM-2013
Lineage: Eukaryota; Metazoa; Arthropoda; Insecta; Coleoptera; Scarabaeidae
Description: partial 16S ribosomal RNA
Source: RNAcentral